GUCUACAGCCAUGCCACCCUGAACAAGCCCAAUCUCAUCUGAUCUCAGAAGCUAAGCAGGGUCGGGCCUGGUUAGUACUUGGAUGGGAGACCACCUAGGAAGACCAGGUGACGUAGGCA
RNAcentral lists this ribosomal RNA (119 nucleotides) under Pteropus alecto (black flying fox). Lineage: Eukaryota; Metazoa; Chordata; Mammalia; Chiroptera; Pteropodidae. The record is from RNAcentral. RNAcentral also lists the same sequence under 1 other name.